CCUACGGGAGGCAGCAGUAAGGAAUAUUGGACAAUGCUCGCAAGAGUGAUCCAGCCAUGCCGCGUGCAGGAAGAAUGCCCUAUGGGUAGUAAACUGCUUUUGAACUAGAGAAAAUCCCAGUACGUGUACUGGGCUGAUAGUAUAGUUAGAAUAAGCAUCGGCUAACUUCGUGCCAGCAGCCGCGGUAAGACGAAGGAUGCAAGCGUUAUCCGGAUUCAUUGGGUUUAAAGGGAGCGUAGGUGGACUGAUAAGUCAGUGGUGAAAUCUCCGAGCUUAACUCGGAAAUUGCCAUUGAUACUGUUGGUCUUGAGUACAGUUGCUGUGGGCGGAAUAUGACAUGUAGUGGUGAAAUACAUAGAGAUGUCAUAGAACACCGAUUGCGAAGGCAGCUCACAAAGCUGUAACUGACACUGAGGCUCGAAAGUGCGGGGAUCAAACAGGAUUAGAUACCCUGGUAGUCCGCACCGUAAACGAUGAUUACUCGCUGCUAGGGGGCAACCUUUAGUGGCUUAGNGAAGAGAGAAGUAAUACACCGNGGAGGACGCCGGCGACGAGAACGACAAGAGAGUUAGAGGCGNGGAGAGNGCGACGGACGACGACGAGGGGAGGAGG
RNAcentral lists this ribosomal RNA (612 nucleotides) under uncultured bacterium. RNAcentral's name for it is "bacterial SSU rRNA". The stretch from base 1 to 534 matches the Rfam family "Bacterial small subunit ribosomal RNA", at positions 338 to 873 of the family's 1533-position model. The record is from RNAcentral.